GUUUAGUCCGUCCGCCUUAUAUUUACUUUGAUGUCACCUUUGGUAUGGGAGGUAUAGGAAAUGUUUUCUGGCCCGCAGUGAAAUUUUUACCUGCGAAGUUCUUCCCAUCGUCUCUUUGUUCUUCACAAGGAGUCAAUGAUGGAAGGCAAUUUUUGGGCUGCUCAUGGGCCAUUUUGCUUGCUGAGAGUGCUUCUCAGUUUGCUUGCUGAGAGUGUUUCUCAGCCUAUUUGCUCGCUAUUGCAGCGAUGUAUUUAGGAAGGCAGUGUGAAGCUUACUCAGUGAUCGGCUGGGAGAUCAUCUUACUUUAGUUGUAUUUUGUAACACGCCUAUUACCUGUAUCUUUUAUAUUCUUGUAAUGAACGUUUGGUAAUAAAGAACUUUAUUUGAACGUAUUUCGCUCUGUCUUUAUUAUUUUUUGAUCGUCCAGAAUGUUUGGUUAUGUUUUUAUCUGUUCACAUUCCCAUAAAGAAGGAACAUAUUUUUUCAAAUAUUUGCCAUUAAUGAAUCUUACGUGCUUGGUGCCAUCUAAAUCUUCCAAGUGGUAUGCUCCAUUAGGCAAUACAUUGCUUAUUUUGUAUGGUCCUUCCCAGUUGGGCGACCACUUCCCGUAGACUUAGGGCCAUUUAAUUCCGUCUAUUAGACAGAAAUGUGGCUGUUCAUAUUCUGUCUCUUCAUCUUCACCCCCUUAUAAAUGUUUAGCAUUUUUCAUCCUCUAUCUUCAUCUCCUCAUUUUCUUAUUCGAAACCAAUUUGCUGCCAUUUCUUGGCAUUCUGACGAUCAAUCUGAUCCAAAAAUGGACUGUUUAGUCCGUCCGCCUUAUAUUUACUUUGAUGUCACCUUUGGUAUGGGAGGUAUAGGAAAUGUUUUCUGGCCCGCAGCGAAAUUUUUACCUGCGAAGUUCUUCCCAUCGUCUCUUUGUUCUUCACAAGGAGUCAAUGAUGGAAGGCAAUUUUUGGGCUGCUCAUGGGCCAUUUUGCUUGCUGAGAGUGCUUCUCAGUUUGCUUGCUGAGAGUGUUUCUCAGCCUAUUUGCUCGCUAUUGCAGCGAUGUAUUUAGGAAGGCAGUGUGAAGCUUACUCAGUGAUCGGCUGGGAGAUCAUCUUACUUUAGUUGUAUUUUGUAACACGCCUAUUACUUGUAUCUUUUAUAUUCUUGUAAUGAACGUUUGGUAAUAAAGAACUUUAUUUGAACGUAUUUCGCUCUGUCUUUAUUAUUUUUUGAUCGUCCAGAAUGUUUGGUUAUGUUUUUAUCUGUUCGCAUUCCCAUAAAGAAGGAACAUAUUUUUUCAAAUAUUUGCCAUUAAUGAAUCUUACGUGCU
RNAcentral lists this long non-coding RNA (1316 nucleotides) under Olea europaea subsp. europaea. The record is from RNAcentral. Lineage: Eukaryota; Viridiplantae; Streptophyta; Magnoliopsida; Lamiales; Oleaceae.